CAGGCAACUGCGAUASGGGGACAUCGAGUGGCAUCCACCUAUGGGUGCCUGUCCYACCGCUCUAAAAAACRKUGGAUUAGCAAGGGCCGGGCUAAGUACCGGUGCCAGCCGCCGCGGUAAUACCGGCGGCUCGAGUGGUGGCCGAUAUUAUUGAGUCUAAAGGGUCCGUAGCCGGCUUCKYAAGUGYCUUGGGAAAUCCSGCGGCUUMACCGUUGGGCGCUCAUGGGAUACUACUUUGCUUGGGACYGGGAGAGGUGRGAGGUACUYCGKGGGUAGGGGUGAAAUCYUGUAAUCCUCCGRGGACCACCRGUGGCGAAGGCGUCCCACCAGAACRGGUCCGACGGUGAGGGACGAAAGCUAGGGGCACGAACCGGAUUAGAUACCCGGGUAGUCCUAUGCCGUAAACGAUGCCCGCUAGGUGUCAGCGAUCGUCGUGAAUUAUCUYGGUGCCGUAGGGAAGCCGYGAAGCGUGCCACUUGGAGAAGUACGWCCGCAAGGUUGAAACUUAA
This 509-nucleotide ribosomal RNA is filed under the name uncultured euryarchaeote. RNAcentral describes it as "partial 16S ribosomal RNA". It matches the Rfam family "Archaeal small subunit ribosomal RNA", at positions 358 to 859 of the family's 1478-position model. The record is from RNAcentral. Lineage: Archaea; Methanobacteriati; Methanobacteriota.